AUUGAACGCUGGCGGCAUGCCUUACACAUGCAAGUCGAACGGUAACAGGUCUUCGGAUGCUGACGAGUGGCGAACGGGUGAGUAAUACAUCGGAACGUGCCUAGUAGUGGGGGAUAACUACUCGAAAGAGUGGCUAAUACCGCAUGAGAUCUACGGAUGAAAGCAGGGGAUCGCAAGACCUUGUGCUACUAGAGCGGCCGAUGGAAGAUUAGGGAGUUGGUGGGAUAAAAGCUUACCAAGCCGACGAUCUGUAGCUGGUCUGAGAGGACGAUCAGCCACACUGGGACUGAGACACGGCCCAGACUCCUACGGGAGGCAGCAGUGGGGAAUUUUGGACAAUGGGCGAAAGCCUGAUCCAGCAAUGCCGCGUGCAGGAUGAUGGCCUUCGGGUUGUAAACUGCUUUUGUACGGAACGAAAAGCCCCGGGUUAAUACCCUGGGGUCAUGACGGUACCGUAAGAAUAAGCACCGGCUAACUACGUGCCAGCCGCCGCCGUAA
This 498-nucleotide ribosomal RNA is filed under the name uncultured bacterium. Its description in RNAcentral is "partial 16S ribosomal RNA". It matches the Rfam family "Bacterial small subunit ribosomal RNA", at positions 30 to 523 of the family's 1533-position model. The record is from RNAcentral.